This 253-nucleotide ribosomal RNA is filed under the name uncultured bacterium. RNAcentral describes it as "partial 16S ribosomal RNA". It matches the Rfam family "Bacterial small subunit ribosomal RNA", at positions 524 to 776 of the family's 1533-position model. The record is from RNAcentral.
UACGGAGGGGGCCAGCGUUGCUCGGAAUCACUGGGCGUAAAGGGUGCGUAGGUGGUAAGGCAAGUCAGGUGUGAAAUCUCCGGGCUCAACCCGGAAAUGGCAUUCGAAACUACCUUGCUAGAGGGUUUGAGGGGGGACUGGAAUACUUGGUGUAGCAGUGAAAUGCGUAGAUAUCAAGAGGAACACCAGUGGCGAAGGCGAGUCCCUGGAAAACUCCUGACACUGAGGCACGAAAGCUAGGGGAGCAAACAGG